GCCUUGGUAGCUUAGUUGGAAAAGCACUUGUUUAGCGAAAAAGGGUUGUGAGUUCAAAUCUCACCUGAUCUA
Aedes albopictus (Asian tiger mosquito) is the source of this 72-nucleotide non-coding RNA. Lineage: Eukaryota; Metazoa; Arthropoda; Insecta; Diptera; Culicidae. The record is from Rfam.